UUUUUAAUAAAGUUGAAUAUUUUCAAGGGAAAAAAAUGUUUUUUUUUGUGGGGCUUGGACUCCAAGAGAAAAAAAUGCAACUUAACAAGUAAACAAAAGUUGUAUAUCUUCACCAGAAGUAAUACAUUUUUUAUU
This is a long non-coding RNA of Hippocampus comes (tiger tail seahorse), 135 nucleotides long. RefSeq lists it as uncharacterized. The transcript is spliced from 2 exons. The record is from RefSeq and is a predicted model, not a curated record. NCBI's taxonomy places the organism in Eukaryota, Metazoa, Chordata, Actinopteri, Syngnathiformes, Syngnathidae.